RNAcentral lists this ribosomal RNA (231 nucleotides) under uncultured bacterium. RNAcentral's name for it is "partial 16S ribosomal RNA". It matches the Rfam family "Bacterial small subunit ribosomal RNA", at positions 118 to 347 of the family's 1533-position model. The record is from RNAcentral.
UGAGUAACCUGCCCUUCACUCUGGGAUAACUCCGGGAAACCGGGGCUAAUACUGGAUACGACCUACUCAGGCAUCCGAUGUGGGUGGAAAGAUUUAUCGGUGAGGGAUGGACUCGCGGCCUAUCAGCUUGUUGGUGAGGUAAUGGCUCGCCAAGGCGACAACGGGUAGCCGGCCUGAGAGGGCGAUCGGCCACACUGGGACUGAGACACGGCCCAGACUCCUACGGGAGCA